Molecule: unclassified non-coding RNA, 205 nt
Filed under: soil metagenome
Description: partial contains 5.8S ribosomal RNA, internal transcribed spacer 2, and large subunit ribosomal RNA
Source: RNAcentral
AACACUGUUAACCUGCGGUACCUGCGGAGGGAUCAUUACCGAGUUUACAACUCCCAAACCCCUGUGAACAUACCACUUGUUGCCUCGGCGGAUCAGCCCGCUCCCGGUAAAACGGGACGGCCCGCCAGAGGACCCCUAAACUCUGUUUCUAUAUGUAACUUCUGAGUAAAACCAUAAAUAAAUCAAAACUUUCAGCAAUGGAUCU